ACAGCAAAUGCGCGCGUAGGUGACCACACGCAGCAGCGUCGACGUGAAUACCAUUGUGACCGGAGGAGCACGCUACGCACAAUGAAGAAACUGAGAGCCAUUCCCACUACACAUGCCACUUGAUAGCGCCAGAAGACACAGCCUAGCGAGAAGCAGCAGCACGCUCGGGGCACGGCAGAACAUUUUUGGGGCGCCAUGUAUAUUUACAACAACUCAGAGGAGGUUAUGGCGGCAUCAUGGGAGCCCUCGUUAGAAAGGUGCAUAGAAGCACGGUUGGGCGCGUCUAUGCGUUUUGCGAACGUCUCAUUUUCUUGGUAUCCCAGUCGCUGCUAUAGGUGCAAAUUGGAAAAUCAUGUUGUCAACUCUGCCUUUUUUCCCAACGAAGCUGACGUGGGCAUAGAAAUUCUGGCUUUCGAGGCUGUUUUGGAGCAGUUCGGCGCAAUUUUUGCGAUUUUCAUGCUUUUGGAGCAACUUGGCGCAGGAAAACGGAAUUGUAUCACAAAUGCGCAAUAUGCGCAGCUGUCUCACCCCUGCAAACGCACUUUUGCAGUGCUGGUCAAGCACGCUUGCAUGUAUGACUGACCUCUGUAGUUUAGAUGAACUUGUUGUUGGGCAAGUUGGUGCAUCUUAACAAAAAGUAAAACCCUGUGCAACCGCACAACCCACACAUGAGCACAGUUUGUGUGUCUGGUAUAUGUGUUUUUGUGUUUUUUCUGUGGUGGCACAGAGGAAUUUGUCAUGCUGCAACAGACGGUGGGGCAGCACCAUUGCCGUAUCAGGAGGCAACAGUUUCCUCAAUUCCGUGGAGGAAUCAUGGAGUGAAACCUAGCUCCCAACAAACGUGGCCAGCAGAUCACUGACGAGGAAGAGGAGGCUCAAGUAACACUCCUCAACCAAGCUUGGCGGGCUCAGCUGCUGAGGCCUGUGGAGCCCUGGACUGGGAACCUCACCGACAUGCUUCUCCAACCUCUUUCCUUUUACAAUAAAUAAUUCUCAGUUAAUA
Molecule: long non-coding RNA, 1003 nt
Organism: Rhipicephalus sanguineus (brown dog tick)
Lineage: Eukaryota; Metazoa; Arthropoda; Arachnida; Ixodida; Ixodidae
Exons: 2
Source: RefSeq, a predicted model, not a curated record